Molecule: long non-coding RNA, 1791 nt
Organism: Electrophorus electricus (electric eel)
Lineage: Eukaryota; Metazoa; Chordata; Actinopteri; Gymnotiformes; Gymnotidae
Source: RefSeq, a predicted model, not a curated record
CUGUCAGGCGACUGCGAGACUUGGCGAAGUAAGGAAGGUAAAUACGCUGAGCGUUAUGGAACAGACGCUGAAUUAAGCACCCGCCACAGCGACGUGACUGUGCGUGCCGAUAGUCGGGCUUAGGGGAGCAACCUGCCGCUUCCGCCCGUGCUAUGGGAGCAGCGAUAAUGCACCACCAGGAUGGCGGAAGCACACCAGUGUAGCCCGGAGCCCCUGUGUUUCACUACAUGCGCAGUUCUAUGAGCGCGGAGGAGCUGGAGCAGGCGUAGCCGCCGAGCCCUGCGUGCAGCUCAGAGCGACAACUCCCUGCAAAUCACCAUACACGCUUCCUGGCAGCUCUGCAGUGCUUACAUACAAAACAUUUCUUUUAUGUCAGCGUUUUGUUACAUUGUGGUUGUUUAAAGUUAAACUAAUACAUUUGCUUGUACUAAUAGACAGUUAUGUCGACCCUGACACAGUUUGAAAAACGAAACAGUUAAUAAAAUAAGUAAAUUGGUUUUUUUUGUAUUAUCACUUUUAGGCAUGAUGCGUGAAUCCAGACCAAUAAAGAAACGGAAAAAAGUAAUUUAUUUUCAGUUUUGAACCUAAUUCUGUCUGUAUUCUGCCAAGCUGCCUCCCUCGGCGCGGUAAUCAGUGUUGUGCGCUUUAGUAGAUGUUACACUUCCGACGCACGGAAACCCCCCCGUCUGCUGCUUGCCAACAGCGAGGGUCGAGGCCUGUCUAGGCGUCGACUGAUAGAGGACAGACGAUGUCUCUUCUGCGUCUGCUACUAAAUGUCGCUGAAUCAAACCCUCAGCUGCUGUUCUGCUGAAAGUCCAGAAUUUGUUAAAACCAGAAAUGUAUAAAACACAGAUAAACCUUGAUCUGUCAGUCGUGCAGUGCUGAAGAGCAUCUGACUGCUCUGGGGCUCUUCUGUGUGGCCUUAUAGACGCCUGUGAUUGGCCGACGCCUGUGAUUGGCUGACACCUGUGAUUGACAAAUGUCAUCUCAAUCAUCAUCACUAUGCUGGAAGACUCUGGACCUCUAGGCCUGGUUGGAUGAAGCAUCAACAGGAAGUCCUAGUGAAGUUGUUGGAGUCCAACGUCUUAGCCAGCUGCACUACUGGGGUGUAUAUGGUGGAGCAUCAUGCCAGCUGUCACAGAAGACCAAGAAGGUUUGGGCAUGUGUUUGAGCACAAUGUCCCACCAAAAGCGCUGGGGUCCAGAAAACCACGUCCUCAAGCUGCCUGUGUGUAUGCAGCCUGAACACUUACCGAGGAGGGACCCGCCUGUCGCCUGCACCCGGACGGACUGACAUCGAUUCACUGUCUUAUGGUAACUCGGAAUCAACGGGAGGCACUCAAAGCCUGCUGGUGUAUAAAUGCAGCAUGCAUGUUCAGAUCCUUUUAAUACAUCUGUGAUUUACCCUCACACUAGUGUGAGUGGCAGUGUGCGUUAGGGCUACUGAACCGAAAACCAGCACGGGCUUGUUUCACCUGCGCCUCCGUCCUGUCACGAGGGCUUCAUCUUACUCCUAACCUCAGCUCAGGCAGAGACCGUUUUUAAGGUGAGUGGUGUGUGCACAGACAGCUUGGCCUAGUUUUUCCUGGAAGAGACGGGAAUUCCGUGGAGUUUAGGACUCUCUGUUAUGCACACAUCUGCUCACAGCUACUGUCCACCCGCCCUGGCAUGUUGGGCGUUAACUUUCUAUUGUGCAGCGUCUGGUGUGUGGACUGGAGCAGGCUGGCUGUGAAGUCCUGCUCGUUCCUCAAGACUGAAGCGAUAAGGAAACCCCUCACCACUAAUAAAUAUC